This 200-nucleotide ribosomal RNA is filed under the name uncultured organism. RNAcentral describes it as "partial small subunit ribosomal RNA". It matches the Rfam family "Bacterial small subunit ribosomal RNA", at positions 1184 to 1382 of the family's 1533-position model. The record is from RNAcentral.
GUCAAGUCAUCAUGCCCCUUAUGUCCAGGGCUACACACGUGCUACAUUGGCGCGUACAGAGGGAAGCAAUACCGCGAGGUGGAGCAAAUCCCAAAAAGCGCGUCUCGGUUCGGAUUGGAGGCUGCAACCCGCCUGCAUGAAGUCGGAGUUGCUAGUAACCGCAGGUCAGCCAUACUGCGGUGAAUACGUUCCCGGGCCUU